UACGUAGGGGCCUAGCGUUGUCCGGAUUUAUUGGGCGUAAAGAGCUCGUAGGCGGUUCGGCAAGUCGGAUGUGAAAUCUCCACGCUUAACGUGGAGGGGCCAUUCGAAACUGCCGUGACUCGAGUCCGGUAGGGGAGUGUGGAAUUCCCGGUGUAGCGGUGAAAUUCGUAGAUAUCAGGAGGAACACCGGUGGCGAAGGCGGCUUUCUGGACGACAACUGACGCUGAGACGCGAAAGCGUGGGGAGCAAACAGG
Molecule: ribosomal RNA, 254 nt
Filed under: uncultured bacterium
Lineage: Bacteria
Description: partial 16S ribosomal RNA
Rfam family: Bacterial small subunit ribosomal RNA
Source: RNAcentral